GGGUCUUGGUACUGGACCUCCUUAUGAAUAUUCACAUGUGUGUAUGGAAUCGCGGGUUUUGAUUGGCUGACGGGUGAGAAGUCCUCAUAAAUUCGGGUUUUGUCUAAGCGCUGUGUUUUACGCUAUUCACACAAAGGACGAUAACGAUAAAGAUAUGUUUGUAAAAUCGUUCUAAAUAUAAAGGAAUAACAAAGUCCACACCACAACAAUAAAAAUUAAAACACAGAGAAGCAAUAUCAUUGGAAUCAUUUUCUUCCACCUCCUCCACCUCCGACCGAGUCACUUCCGGCUGAGAUAAUGAGCGCGCCACUCUGAAGACACUUAAGGAAAUGGCAGCAACAUGGUCCUGGAGGGCUAAACUAAAACCAAAAGAUGAAGCUGCAUAUUUUUCAUCCAUGCUCAAAGAUAAGGAUGGAUUUGAAAUAAAAUAUAUAAAUUCAUUUAAAGGUUUGUUCUGAGACUGAACAACAGGAGCAUGCUUUGGUCAGCUGUGCAGCAGGAGAUGGGUCAAAGGAGGUUUGUUCUGAGACUGAACAACAGGAGCAUGCUUUGUUCAGCUGUGCAGCAGGAGAUGGGUCAAAGGAGAUCUCAACAACGUCUGAUUCUCAGCUGACAUGUCAUGACAACACUCAACAGAUACAGACCCUGCCUUAGGAGGCCCAUCUAAAGAUCAUUGCAAGAAGGACAAAUAUCACAGCAGGAGGGAAGAGCACGAACAACCUGGAAUGAAGAAAGCUAGGCAGCCUGUUGUGAACCCACCAGGCACCUCAGAUGAUAUCGAGACUUCCUUUAGAGGCUCAUCUCAAGGGAAUCACGAAAAUUCUGCUGAAAAAAAUCUGGACGAUGCUAAAAGGAAGCAGAAACGAACCUGGUCUUCAACUGAAAUUGCAGCAGUACAGAGGCACUUCCGCGACCACAUAGCAGGGGGUAAACUCACCACUAAAAUUGAA
Molecule: long non-coding RNA, 950 nt
Organism: Danio aesculapii
Lineage: Eukaryota; Metazoa; Chordata; Actinopteri; Cypriniformes; Danionidae
Exons: 10
Source: RefSeq, a predicted model, not a curated record